CAUUUCUCACCGGAUCUCGUACCCACCCGCUUCCAUACCCACGCCGCGCUAUCUCCUGUCUUCCUCCUCUCGGGGCAUCCUUGUACAUCCCCUUCUCCUAAGAUUCCGCCUCUCCAUCUAACCCUAGCUCCCCGACUAAGCAGCCCUCCUAAAGGCAACGGCGGAUCGGAUUCUAGGCUCCGGUGCAAGUUCGUGAUGCGCGCAUCAAUCAAUAUUUGCGGAGUGAAUCAUCCCUCUCCCGAACGAAGAUGUUUGGGCGAUUUGUUGGCCUCUGAGUUAUUCAAGUGUCAUCUUGGGAGGCCAUCAUGUUAUUCAUCACUUGAGAUUUUCUAAUCUCAUGGAUGAACUUUGAAGAUUUGAUUAAUUGAUUGUAUAUAAGGGACAUUGACUAAUAAAAUAUGGGAGCUAAUUGCUGCAUAGCUACCAGGGAGAGCACAUCCAUGUAUGGCUCCAAUUGAAAUUUCAACGUACAGGGGUAAGGCACUCGCCACCAUGGAGCUUCGGGUGGGAUAACCGUACACACAUAGCUCCACAGUAACUGUUUUAAAGUCCAACGGCUAAAGCCCUUAGGUGGAGAGUUAAGACAUGGUCAAUGACUCUUUUUGUAAUGGUGUAUCCAAUGUUUUUGGGUCAGUGGAUUUAACAUGAGAAAUUGGGAAUUGUUUACAUCAUCCGUAGUCCGUUAUUACCAUCCA
Molecule: long non-coding RNA, 695 nt
Organism: Setaria italica (foxtail millet)
Lineage: Eukaryota; Viridiplantae; Streptophyta; Magnoliopsida; Poales; Poaceae
Exons: 2
Source: RefSeq, a predicted model, not a curated record